GACAAAUGAUCGCGGCUGCAGGCACCGCAAGGUGGCAGGUGAGGAAAGUCCGGGCUUCACAGGGCAGGAUGCCGGUUAACGGCCGGUGGGGGUGACCCUAAGGAUAGCGCAACAGAAAUAAACCGCCUGACUCGUCAGGUAAGGGUGGAAAGGCAGUGUAAGAGACUACCGCCGUCCUGGUAACAGGGCGGGCACAUGCAAGCCCCAUCCGAAGCAAGACCAAACAGAAAGCAUAAGGCGGCCCGUCUGCUUUCGGGUAGGUCGCUGGAGCCUGGUGGCAACAUCAGGCCUAGAUAGAUGAUCAUUCACGACAGAACCCGGCUUAUCGUUCCACUCAU
RNAcentral lists this RNase P RNA (338 nucleotides) under chicken gut metagenome. Its description in RNAcentral is "Bacterial RNase P class A". It matches the Rfam family "Bacterial RNase P class A". From Rfam's summary of the family: Ribonuclease P (RNase P) is a ubiquitous endoribonuclease, found in archaea, bacteria and eukarya as well as chloroplasts and mitochondria. Its best characterised activity is the generation of mature 5'-ends of tRNAs by cleaving the 5'-leader elements of precursor-tRNAs. The record is from RNAcentral.